CGCAUCUGUGCAUGCAGCAUAUCAAUAAGCGGAGGAAAAGAAACUAACAAGGAUUCCCUUAGUAACGGCGAGUGAAGCGGGAAGAGCUCAAAUUUGAAAUCUUCAAGGUUUUACCUUGACGAAUUGUAGUUUAAAGAAGUGUUUUCUGUUGAAGUUUUGGUAAAAGUUCUUUGGAAUAGGACAUCAUAGAGAGUGAGAAUCCCGUAUUUGACCAUUAUUUUCAGGCUGUGUGAUACACUUUCAAAGAGUCGGAUUGUUUGGGAAUGCAGUCCAAAAUGGGUGGUAAAUUUCAUCUAAAGCUAAAUAUUGGCGAGAGACCGAUAGCGAACAAGUACCGUGAGGGAAAGAUGAAAAGAACUUUGAAAAGAGAGUUAAACAGUACGUGAAAUUGUCAAAAGGGAAGCGUUUGACACCAGUGUUGUUUUCUCGAAAAUCAAUUAAAAAGAGUUAGAUUUUGUUGUGUAUUGACCUUAACAGCUUGCAUUUCAAUUUUCUUGCUUUUUUUAAUGCACUUUUCGUUUAACAAGUCAACAUCAGUUUCUUUUGUUGUAAAAAGGUCAUUGGAAGGUGGCUUUCUUUUCGGAGAAAGUGUUUAUAGCCUUUGACUCCUGCAAUCGGAGAGACUGAGGUCUGCAGCGUAGAUCCUUCGGGGUUAGAUACAUUUGUGCUAAGUUAUAGCUUUUUAUAGACAACUUGUUGACUAUGAUUAGUCUUGUAGCUUACUCGCUUAUGCUAUUUUACCUACGCUUAGGAUGUUGAAGACUCUACAGAGAUA
RNAcentral lists this ribosomal RNA (775 nucleotides) under uncultured Neocallimastigales. RNAcentral's name for it is "partial large subunit ribosomal RNA". It matches the Rfam family "Eukaryotic large subunit ribosomal RNA", at positions 26 to 627 of the family's 3401-position model. The record is from RNAcentral. Lineage: Eukaryota; Fungi; Neocallimastigomycota; Neocallimastigomycetes; Neocallimastigales.